RNAcentral lists this ribosomal RNA (636 nucleotides) under Bradyrhizobium sp. RNAcentral describes it as "bacterial SSU rRNA". It matches the Rfam family "Bacterial small subunit ribosomal RNA", at positions 75 to 752 of the family's 1533-position model. The record is from RNAcentral. Lineage: Bacteria; Pseudomonadati; Pseudomonadota; Alphaproteobacteria; Hyphomicrobiales; Nitrobacteraceae.
CGUAGCAAUACGUCAGCGUCAGACGGGUGAGUAACGCGUGGGAACGUACCUUUUGGUUCGGAACAACACAGGGAAACUUGUGCUAAUACCGGAUAAGCCCUUACGGGGAAAGAUUUAUCGCCGAAAGAUCGGCCCGCGUCUGAUUAGCUAGUUGGUGAGGUAACGGCUCACCAAGGCGACGAUCAGUAGCUGGUCUGAGAGGAUGAUCAGCCACAUUGGGACUGAGACACGGCCCAAACUCCUACGGGAGGCAGCAGUGGGGAAUAUUGGACAAUGGGCGCAAGCCUGAUCCAGCCAUGCCGCGUGAGUGAUGAAGGCCCUAGGGUUGUAAAGCUCUUUUGUGCGGGAAGAUAAUGACGGUACUGCAAGAAUAAGCCCCGGCUAACUUCGUGCCAGCAGCCGCGGUAAUACGAAGGGGGCUAGCGUUGCUCGGAAUCACUGGGCGUAAAGGGUGCGUAGGCGGGUCUUUAAGUCAGGGGUGAAAUCCUGGAGCUCAACUCCAGAACUGCCUUUGAUACUGAGGAUCUUGAGUUCGGGAGAGGUGAGUGGAACUGCGAGUGUAGAGGUGAAAUUCGUAGAUAUUCGCAAGAACACCAGUGGCGAAGGCGGCUCACUGGCCCGAUACUGACGCUGAGC